RNAcentral lists this ribosomal RNA (452 nucleotides) under uncultured Rhodocyclaceae bacterium. Its description in RNAcentral is "bacterial SSU rRNA". It matches the Rfam family "Bacterial small subunit ribosomal RNA", at positions 929 to 1382 of the family's 1533-position model. Lineage: Bacteria; Pseudomonadati; Pseudomonadota; Betaproteobacteria; Rhodocyclales; Rhodocyclaceae. The record is from RNAcentral.
GCGGUGGAUGAUGUGGAUUAAUUCGAUGCAACGCGAAAACCUUACCUACCCUUGACAUGUCCGGAAUCCGAAGAGAUUUGGGAGUGCUCGCAAGAGAACCGGAACACAGGUGCUGCAUGGCUGUCGUCAGCUCGUGUCGUGAGAUGUUGGGUUAAGUCCCGCAACGAGCGCAACCCUUGUCAUUAGUUGCCAUCAUUUGGUUGGGCACUCUAAUGAGACUGCCGGUGACAAACCGGAGGAAGGUGGGGAUGACGUCAAGUCCUCAUGGCCCUUAUGGGUAGGGCUUCACACGUCAUACAAUGGUCGGUACAGAGGGUUGCCAACCCGCGAGGGGGAGCUAAUCCCACAAAGCCGAUCGUAGUCCGGAUCGCAGUCUGCAACUCGACUGCGUGAAGUCGGAAUCGCUAGUAAUCGCGGAUCAGCAUGUCGCGGUGAAUACGUUCCCGGGUCUU